RNAcentral lists this ribosomal RNA (504 nucleotides) under uncultured bacterium. Its description in RNAcentral is "bacterial SSU rRNA". It matches the Rfam family "Bacterial small subunit ribosomal RNA", at positions 32 to 506 of the family's 1533-position model. The record is from RNAcentral.
AAUCAACGCUGGCGGCGUGCCUCAGACAUGCAAGUCGAACGCGAAAUUUCCCUUCGGGGAGAAAGUAGAGUGGCGCACGGGUGAGUAACACGUAGGUAAUUUGCCUUUGGGUGGGGAAUAACUCAGGGAAACUUGAGCUAAUACCGCAUAAUGCAGCGGCUCGACAUCGAGACAGUUGUUAAAGCGGGGGAUUGGAGCAAUCCGACCUCGCGCCUAAAGAGAAGCCUGCGGCAGAUUAGCUAGUUGGUAAGGUAAUGGCUUACCAAGGCGACGAUCUGUAACCGGCCUGAGAGGGCGGUCGGUCACACUGACACUGACAUACGGGUCAGACUCCUACGGGAGGCAGCAGUCGGGAAUUUUGGGCAAUGGGCGCAAGCCUGACCCAGCAACGCCGCGUGAAGGAUGAAAUUUUUCGGAAUGUAAACUUCGCAAGAACAGAAGAAUAAGUGUGGGACAAUACCCCACAUGAUGACGGUACUGUUUGUAAGCUCCGGCUAACUCCGU